UGAUGGUGGGGAUGGAUGAAAGUCAAGUUUCUAUCAUUACUUAUAGUCUAGCAGUGUUUUCUGAGUGGUUUUGGAGAAAAACUUGGAAGGUAAGGGGGCAGCCAGGGUGAUUACUUCAGUUUGAAUAACAACAGUAUCCAAAUGUGCAGCAUAAAAUCUGUUUUUGUGAUCCUCAUCACACUUAGGAAAUCAUUUGUGUGGCUCCUCAUUGUGAACCUCUUGAUCGUGGUGAGCAGCACUGACAUGUGGCUCAGAGAAUGAAAGAAGGAGAACAAAGACAGUGCUGAAACACUUUUCUUCUCAUGCUGAGGGUGGCAAUGUGCUUCUGUGGAGGAAGGAUCUUAUGAACACUUGGGUGUUAUGUGUGCUGCAUCCUUACAGAUGGCUCAAAAGCCUGGACACUGGGCACAAGCUCUUAUUCCUGUGGAAUGCUGCUAUUUCGGUGACUUAUGGUGAUGACCUAGUCCCACAUAAAGGACUCUUAACCUGAAUAAUCACUUACCUAGAGAUGCACCAAACAAGCUUUUGGCAAUUGAAAAAGGGUCCAAAGAAUCUCCCACUGGUAAAUAUUUUAUAUUA
Molecule: long non-coding RNA, 579 nt
Filed under: Cyanistes caeruleus (blue tit)
Lineage: Eukaryota; Metazoa; Chordata; Aves; Passeriformes; Paridae
Description: lncRNA (ENSCCEG00000018992.1)
Source: RNAcentral